This 2900-nucleotide ribosomal RNA is filed under the name Klebsiella pneumoniae. Its description in RNAcentral is "bacterial LSU rRNA". It matches the Rfam family "Bacterial large subunit ribosomal RNA". The record is from RNAcentral. Lineage: Bacteria; Pseudomonadati; Pseudomonadota; Gammaproteobacteria; Enterobacterales; Enterobacteriaceae.
UUAAGCGACUAAGCGUACACGGUGGAUGCCCUGGCAGUCAGAGGCGAUGAAGGACGUGCUAAUCUGCGAAAAGCGUCGGUAAGGUGAUAUGAACCGUUAUAACCGGCGAUGUCCGAAUGGGGAAACCCAGUGUGAUUCGUCACACUAUCGUUAACUGAAUACAUAGGUUAACGAGGCGAACCGGGGGAACUGAAACAUCUAAGUACCCCGAGGAAAAGAAAUCAACCGAGAUUCCCCCAGUAGCGGCGAGCGAACGGGGAGCAGCCCAGAGUCUGAAUCAGCUUGUGUGUUAGUGGAACGGUCUGGAAAGUCCGACGGUACAGGGUGAUAGUCCCGUACACCAAAAUGCACAGGUUGUGAACUCGAAGAGUAGGGCGGGACACGUGGUAUCCUGUCUGAAUAUGGGGGGACCAUCCUCCAAGGCUAAAUACUCCUGACUGACCGAUAGUGAACCAGUACCGUGAGGGAAAGGCGAAAAGAACCCCGGCGAGGGGAGUGAAAAAGAACCUGAAACCGUGUACGUACAAGCAGUGGGAGCACCUUCGGGUGUGACUGCGUACCUUUUGUAUAAUGGGUCAGCGACUUAUAUUCUGUAGCAAGGUUAACCGUAUAGGGGAGCCGCAGGGAAACCGAGUCUUAACUGGGCGUUAAGUUGCAGGGUAUAGACCCGAAACCCGGUGAUCUAGCCAUGGGCAGGUUGAAGGUUGGGUAACACUAACUGGAGGACCGAACCGACUAAUGUUGAAAAAUUAGCGGAUGACUUGUGGCUGGGGGUGAAAGGCCAAUCAAACCGGGAGAUAGCUGGUUCUCCCCGAAAGCUAUUUAGGUAGCGCCUCGUGAACUCAUCUUCGGGGGUAGAGCACUGUUUCGGCUAGGGGGUCAUCCCGACUUACCAACCCGAUGCAAACUACGAAUACCGAAGAAUGUUAUCACGGGAGACACACGGCGGGUGCUAACGUCCGUCGUGAAGAGGGAAACAACCCAGACCGCCAGCUAAGGUCCCAAAGUCAUGGUUAAGUGGGAAACGAUGUGGGAAGGCACAGACAGCCAGGAUGUUGGCUUAGAAGCAGCCAUCAUUUAAAGAAAGCGUAAUAGCUCACUGGUCGAGUCGGCCUGCGCGGAAGAUGUAACGGGGCUAAACCAUGCACCGAAGCUGCGGCAGCGACACUAUGUGUUGUUGGGUAGGGGAGCGUUCUGUAAGCCUGCGAAGGUGUGCUGUGAGGCAUGCUGGAGGUAUCAGAAGUGCGAAUGCUGACAUAAGUAACGAUAAAGCGGGUGAAAAGCCCGCUCGCCGGAAGACCAAGGGUUCCUGUCCAACGUUAAUCGGGGCAGGGUGAGUCGACCCCUAAGGCGAGGCCGAAAGGCGUAGUCGAUGGGAAACAGGUUAAUAUUCCUGUACUUGGUGUUACUGCGAAGGGGGGACGGAGAAGGCUAUGUUAGCCGGGCGACGGUUGUCCCGGUUUAAGCAUGUAGGCUGGUUGUCCAGGCAAAUCCGGAUAAUCAAGGCUGAGGUGUGAUGACGAGGCACUACGGUGCUGAAGUAACAAAUGCCCUGCUUCCAGGAAAAGCCUCUAAGCAUCAGGUAACAUCAAAUCGUACCCCAAACCGACACAGGUGGUCAGGUAGAGAAUACCAAGGCGCUUGAGAGAACUCGGGUGAAGGAACUAGGCAAAAUGGUGCCGUAACUUCGGGAGAAGGCACGCUGGUGUGUAGGUGAAGCCCCUGCGGGUGGAGCUGAGACCAGUCGAAGAUACCAGCUGGCUGCAACUGUUUAUUAAAAACACAGCACUGUGCAAACACGAAAGUGGACGUAUACGGUGUGACGCCUGCCCGGUGCCGGAAGGUUAAUUGAUGGGGUUAUCCGUAAGGAGAAGCUCUUGAUCGAAGCCCCGGUAAACGGCGGCCGUAACUAUAACGGUCCUAAGGUAGCGAAAUUCCUUGUCGGGUAAGUUCCGACCUGCACGAAUGGCGUAAUGAUGGCCAGGCUGUCUCCACCCGAGACUCAGUGAAAUUGAACUCGCUGUGAAGAUGCAGUGUACCCGCGGCAAGACGGAAAGACCCCGUGAACCUUUACUAUAGCUUGACACUGAACAUUGAGCCUUGAUGUGUAGGAUAGGUGGGAGGCUUUGAAGCGUGGACGCCAGUCUGCGUGGAGCCAACCUUGAAAUACCACCCUUUAAUGUUUGAUGUUCUAACGUUGGCCCCUGACCGGGGUUGCGGACAGUGUCUGGUGGGUAGUUUGACUGGGGCGGUCUCCUCCCAAAGCGUAACGGAGGAGCACGAAGGUUAGCUAAUCCUGGUCGGACAUCAGGAGGUUAGUGCAAUGGCAUAAGCUAGCUUGACUGCGAGCGUGACGGCGCGAGCAGGUGCGAAAGCAGGUCAUAGUGAUCCGGUGGUUCUGAAUGGAAGGGCCAUCGCUCAACGGAUAAAAGGUACUCCGGGGAUAACAGGCUGAUACCGCCCAAGAGUUCAUAUCGACGGCGGUGUUUGGCACCUCGAUGUCGGCUCAUCACAUCCUGGGGCUGAAGUAGGUCCCAAGGGUAUGGCUGUUCGCCAUUUAAAGUGGUACGCGAGCUGGGUUUAGAACGUCGUGAGACAGUUCGGUCCCUAUCUGCCGUGGGCGCUGGAGAAUUGAGGGGGGCUGCUCCUAGUACGAGAGGACCGGAGUGGACGCAUCACUGGUGUUCGGGUUGUCAUGCCAAUGGCACUGCCCGGUAGCUAAAUGCGGAAGAGAUAAGUGCUGAAAGCAUCUAAGCACGAAACUUGCCCCGAGAUGAGUUCUCCCUGAGACUUUAAGUCUCCUGAAGGAACGUUGAAGACGACGACGUUGAUAGGCCGGGUGUGUAAGCGCAGCGAUGCGUUGAGCUAACCGGUACUAAUGAACCGUGAGGCUUAACCUU